RNAcentral lists this transfer RNA (72 nucleotides) under Dipodomys ordii (Ord's kangaroo rat). It matches the Rfam family "tRNA". From Rfam's summary of the family: Transfer RNA (tRNA) molecules are approximately 80 nucleotides in length. Their secondary structure includes four short double-helical elements and three loops (D, anti-codon, and T loops). Further hydrogen bonds mediate the characteristic L-shaped molecular structure. tRNAs have two regions of fundamental functional importance: the anti-codon, which is responsible for specific mRNA codon recognition, and the 3' end, to which the tRNAs corresponding amino acid is attached (by aminoacyl-tRNA synthetases). tRNAs cope with the degeneracy of the genetic code in two manners: having more than one tRNA (with a specific anti-codon) for a particular amino acid; and 'wobble' base-pairing, i.e. permitting non-standard base-pairing at the 3rd anti-codon position. Lineage: Eukaryota; Metazoa; Chordata; Mammalia; Rodentia; Heteromyidae. The record is from Rfam by way of RNAcentral.
AGGGAUGUAGCUCAGUGGUAGAGUGCGUGCCUGGCACGCACAAGGCUCGGGGUUCAAUUCCCAGCAAUACAA